RNAcentral lists this ribosomal RNA (518 nucleotides) under uncultured bacterium. RNAcentral describes it as "bacterial SSU rRNA". It matches the Rfam family "Bacterial small subunit ribosomal RNA", at positions 10 to 518 of the family's 1533-position model. The record is from RNAcentral.
AGUUUGAUCCUGGCUCAGGAUGAACGCUAGCUACAGGCUUAACACAUGCAAGUCGAGGGGCAGCAUUAUCGAAGCUUGCUUGAUAGAUGGCGACCGGCGCACGGGUGAGUAACGCGUAUCCAACCUUCCCAUCACUCAGGGAUAGCCCGCCGAAAGGCGAAUUAAUACCUGAUGGUCUCCUUUGCAGACAUCUAACGAGGAGUAAAGAUUCAUUGGUGAUGGAUGGGGAUGCGUCUGAUUAGGUAGUAGGCGGGGUAACGGCCCACCUAGCCGACGAUCAGUAGGGGUUCUGAGAGGAAGGUCCCCCACAUUGGAACUGAGACACGGUCCAAACUCCUACGGGAGGCAGCAGUGAGGAAUAUUGGUCAAUGGACGGAAGUCUGAACCAGCCAAGUAGCGUGCAGGAUGACGGCCCUAUGGGUUGUAAACUGCUUUUGUGCGGGAAUAAAGUAUGGGACGUGUCCCGUUUUGCAUGUACCGCACGAAUAAGGACCGGCUAAUUCCGUGCCAGCCGCCGC